UACGUAGGGUGCAAGCGUUGUCCGGAAUUAUUGGGCGUAAAGAGCUCGUAGGCGGUUCGUCGCGUCGGCUGUGAAAACCUGAGGCUCAACCUCAGGCCUGCAGUCGAUACGGGCGGACUUGAGUACUGCAGGGGAGACUGGAAUUCCUGGUGUAGCGGUGAAAUGCGCAGAUAUCGGGAGGAACACCGGUGGCGAAGGCGGCCUGCUGGACAGCACCUGACACUGAGACGCGAAAGCGUGGGUAGCAAACAGG
RNAcentral lists this ribosomal RNA (253 nucleotides) under uncultured bacterium. RNAcentral describes it as "partial 16S ribosomal RNA". It matches the Rfam family "Bacterial small subunit ribosomal RNA", at positions 524 to 776 of the family's 1533-position model. The record is from RNAcentral.